Mus musculus (house mouse) is the source of this 1509-nucleotide long non-coding RNA. RefSeq annotates it as predicted gene, 30845. The transcript has 3 exons. The record is from RefSeq and is a predicted model, not a curated record. Lineage: Eukaryota; Metazoa; Chordata; Mammalia; Rodentia; Muridae.
GGAAACAUAACACUACACACUGCUGAACGCUUCUUUUUGAAAUUUGUGUUUCAGUUCUAAUGUUCAUCAACUAUAUGUAUAUAUUAUACAUGUGUGUGCCUUCUUAUAUGUAAUUGGAAAAUGUUAUACUUUAAAUCUGUGUAUAACUUGGUGAUGCAGGCUCUGGUGUGAAAAGGCUAAUAUAAGAGAAACACCAACUAUUCCAACAAAGAAUCCACCUUUACAAUACGCUGACUAAGGUCAUCCUAGCCACGCCUGAACACUCUCAGCACUUUCCUCUUUCACCUAGACUAUGUUUAACAAGGCAGGGCUCUUGUAAGGUGCCUCUAGCCUGCCUUGUGUGCGUCAGCCCUUCCAUUCUGAGCCCUGCCCUUCUGUGCCCCUCCCCCCCUUUAGCAAGUUGAAUUGUGUCUUCUAGUGAUACGUCUUGUGGCAAUGACUGACUUCUAGCUGGUGUACCUCAGGAGCUGCAAGGCCUUCUGGGAGAAGACUCACUAGCUGGUCCAGUUCACCAUUAGGCACCUUAUUAGACAGUCCUACUGUUUCUGCUGCAUAAUCUUUCCAAAUAGCUAACGUGAGAAGCAUUGUCCCUGCUCGGGCUGGAAUGCAUGUGGUGUGGCUAUGCAGCUGAAGCUUAAAGCUCAGAUUUCAAUGGUUUGAACCUCUACGUGAGCACUUUACUACUGAGCUACACCACAGGCUUGCUGUGGUUUUCCCUACAGGAGAGGUAAGUAAUCCGGGUGAAGGGUCAGAAAAUGUUUUCAGAAGGGAGGUUGGAGAUAAAAAUAGUGUCUAUAAACAACUUGGGGUCUCACCACUGGUUCAGUGUCUCUGAGUCCAUUGCUUUCCAAUGGAGCAGUCAAGGGCUGGUGACACCUAUCCCCAGGCUUUUAGGAGGGAUGUCCUACAUGGACAAAACAGGUAUGGACAAAACAGGUAUGGACAAAACAGGUAUGUCUACUUAGUAAAUGCUUCUUUCCCCGUGUUUUCUAAAUCCCUUCAUUUUGAGCGCAAAACUAAUCAUGCACAUUUGUUGAUGGCAAACAUUUAAUCUCUUCGCAUAAUGAGCAAAUACUGGAAAAUUAACGUCCAGAAGGAACUACACGGGCCACGAAGACAUUUCCUUUAGGCCACCCUCAUCAGCUCUUGUCUUUAUUGCAGGGAUUAAAAACUGUCAGGUAUCCAGGUGCAACCCAGGAGUCCCCUUGAACAGUUUUCAAUCCUGUCUUCCACCUCAGUAGCUGAGAAUAGCAAGGAGGGGCGGAGGCAGGUGCAGGUGCAAAGGACUUCCCAACAGUGUGGAGUUUCCCUUGGCAAAGGCCAUCAACCGGCUUUGAGUCACAUUUCUGGGCAACAGACACUGACAUUGUUUUCCUGUGGACAGACUUGUCACCUAGACAAUUUUUUGAAAUUCCUUCAUGUUUCAAAUCUAUGUGAAUGCUUUUAGGCAGCCCUUCAUGGGUGGUGCUCACUGUUAGAUAUUUAAAAAAAUAAAACAAUUCACAAAGA